RNAcentral lists this ribosomal RNA (253 nucleotides) under uncultured bacterium. Its description in RNAcentral is "partial 16S ribosomal RNA". It matches the Rfam family "Bacterial small subunit ribosomal RNA", at positions 524 to 776 of the family's 1533-position model. The record is from RNAcentral.
UACGUAGGGUGCGAGCGUUGUCCGGAAUUAUUGGGCGUAAAGGGCUCGUAGGCGGCCAACUAAGUCGGAUGUGAAAUCCCCAAGCUUAACUUGGGAACUGCAUCCGAUACUGGAUGGCUUGAAUCCGGGAGAGGGAUGCAGAAUUCCAGGUGUAGCGGUGAAAUGCGUAGAUAUCUGGAGGAAUACCGGUGGCGAAGGCGGCAUCCUGGACCGGCAUUGACGCUGAGGAGCGAAAGCUAGGGGAGCAAACGGG